AUAGCGUAUAUUAAAGUUGUUGUGGUUAAAAAGCUCGUAGUUGAACCUUGGGCCUGGCUGGCCGGUCCCCCUCACCGGGUGCACUGAUCCAGCCGGGUCUUUCCCGCUGUGGAACCCCAUGGCCUUCACUGGUCGUGGCGGGGAAACAGGACUUUUACUUUGAAAAAAUUAGAGUGUUCCAAGCAGGCUUAUGCUCGAAUACAUUAGCAUGGAAUAAUAAAAUAGGACGGGGGGUUCUAUUUUGUUGUUUUCUAGAGCCGCCGUAAUGAUUAAUAGGGACAGUCGGGGGCAUCAGUAUUCAAUUGUCAGAGGUGAAAUUCUUGGAUCUAUUGAAGACUAACUACUG
This 346-nucleotide ribosomal RNA is filed under the name uncultured eukaryote. RNAcentral's name for it is "partial 18S ribosomal RNA". It matches the Rfam family "Eukaryotic small subunit ribosomal RNA", at positions 594 to 945 of the family's 1831-position model. The record is from RNAcentral.